GAUUUUUCUGUUACUUCUGUUUGUUGUUCUAGUACUUAUCCCUGUCCUUCGUCACUACUUAAUACUUCGGGAAGGAAUCAAUUAUUGAGUGGAAGUAGGAUCUAUGUCUAUUUUGAACAGAUUUGGGGUACAGUCAAUUUUCAUACCAUGAUCUUAUCCAUAAUGUCCCCUUUUAGAGAGCAGUAGAAUUAAGAGCUUUGAGAUCGUCAACACAAAAUCCGAUCAAAUUAGGAUAAAAUGUACUGGCUGGAGGGAAAGACUCCAGAAAAAACCGCGGUCAUACUUGAAUAAAACCAUUUACUGU
Molecule: long non-coding RNA, 304 nt
Filed under: Brassica rapa (field mustard)
Lineage: Eukaryota; Viridiplantae; Streptophyta; Magnoliopsida; Brassicales; Brassicaceae
Description: long non-coding RNA (BRAP_LNC003831)
Source: RNAcentral